This 589-nucleotide ribosomal RNA is filed under the name uncultured bacterium. RNAcentral's name for it is "bacterial SSU rRNA". It matches the Rfam family "Bacterial small subunit ribosomal RNA", at positions 102 to 687 of the family's 1533-position model. The record is from RNAcentral.
ACGGGUGAGUAAUAUAUCGGAACGUGCCCAGUAGUGGGGGAUAGCCCGGCGAAAGCCGGAUUAAUACCGCAUACGACCUACGGGUGAAAGCGGGGGAUCGCAAGACCUCGCGCUAUUGGAGCGGCCGAUAUCAGAUUAGCUAGUUGGUGGGGUAAAAGCCUACCAAGGCGACGAUCUGUAGCUGGUCUGAGAGGACGACCAGCCACACUGGGACUGAGACACGGCCCAGACUCCUACGGGAGGCAGCAGUGGGGAAUUUUGGACAAUGGGCGCAAGCCUGAUCCAGCCAUGCCGCGUGCGGGAAGAAGGCCUUCGGGUUGUAAACCGCUUUUGUCAGGGAAGAAACGGUCUGAUCUAAUACAUUGGACUAAUGACGGUACCUGAAGAAUAAGCACCGGCUAACUACGUGCCAGCAGCCGCGGUAAUACGUAGGGUGCAAGCGUUAAUCGGAAUUACUGGGCGUAAAGCGUGCGCAGGCGGCUUUGCAAGACAGAUGUGAAAUCCCCGGGCUCAACCUGGGAACUGCAUUUGUGACUGCAAGGCUGGAGUACGGCAGAGGGGGAUGGAAUUCCGCGUGUAGCAGUGAAAU